This 482-nucleotide ribosomal RNA is filed under the name uncultured bacterium. Its description in RNAcentral is "partial 16S ribosomal RNA". It matches the Rfam family "Bacterial small subunit ribosomal RNA", at positions 30 to 507 of the family's 1533-position model. The record is from RNAcentral.
AUUGAACGCUGGCGGCAUGCUUUACACAUGCAAGUCGAACGGUAACAGGCCGCAAGGUGCUGACGAGUGGCGAACGGGUGAGUAAUGCAUCGGAACGUGCCCAGUCGUGGGGGAUAACUACUCGAAAGAGUAGCUAAUACCGCAUACGAUCUAUGGAUGAAAGCGGGGGACCGUAAGGCCUCGCGCGAUUGGAGCGGCCGAUGUCAGAUUAGGUAGUUGGUGGGGUAAAGGCUCACCAAGCCAACGAUCUGUAGCUGGUCUGAGAGGACGACCAGCCACACUGGGGCUGAGACACGGCCCAGACUCCUACGGGAGGCAGCAGUGGGGAAUUUUGGACAAUGGGCGCAAGCCUGAUCCAGCAAUGCCGCGUGAAGGAAGAAGGCCUUCGGGUUGUAAACUGCUUUUGUACGGAACGAAACGGCUCUGGUUAAUACCCGGGGCUAAUGACGGUACCGUAAGAAUAAGCACCGGCUAACUACGUG